AGUGAACGCUGGCGGUAGGCCUAACACAUGCAAGUCGAACGGCAGCACAGGAGAGCUUGCUCUCUGGGUGGCGAGUGGCGGACGGGUGAGGAAAUACAUCGGAAUCUACUUUUUCGUGGGGGAUAACGUAGGGAAACUUACGCUAAUACCGCAUACGACCUACGGGUGAAAGCAGGGGAACUUCGGGCCUUGCGCGAUUGAAUGAGCCGAUGUCGGAUUAGCCGGUUGGCGGGGUAAAGGCCCACCAAGGCGACGAUCCGUAGCUGGUCUGAGAGGAUGAUCAGCCACACUGGAACUGAGACACGGUCCAGACUCCUACGGGAGGCAGCAGUGGGGAAUAUUGGACAAUGGGCGCAAGCCUGAUCCAGCCAUACCGCGUGGGUGAAGAAGGCCUUCGGGUUGUAAAGCCCUUUUGUUGGGAAAGGAAUCCAGCUGGCUAAUACCCGGUUGGGAUGACGGUACCCAAAGAAUAAGCACCGGCUAACUUCGUGCCAGCCGCCGCGGUAA
Molecule: ribosomal RNA, 507 nt
Filed under: uncultured bacterium
Lineage: Bacteria
Description: partial 16S ribosomal RNA
Rfam family: Bacterial small subunit ribosomal RNA
Source: RNAcentral